Molecule: transfer RNA, 74 nt
Filed under: Porphyromonas sp.
Lineage: Bacteria; Pseudomonadati; Bacteroidota; Bacteroidia; Bacteroidales; Porphyromonadaceae
Description: tRNA-Cys
Rfam family: tRNA
About the family: Transfer RNA (tRNA) molecules are approximately 80 nucleotides in length. Their secondary structure includes four short double-helical elements and three loops (D, anti-codon, and T loops).
Source: RNAcentral
GGUUCGUUGGCCGAGUGGUUAGGCAACGGUCUGCAAAACCGUGUACGGCGGUUCAAAUCCGCCACGAACCUCCA